RNAcentral lists this ribosomal RNA (322 nucleotides) under uncultured eukaryote. RNAcentral's name for it is "partial 18S ribosomal RNA". It matches the Rfam family "Eukaryotic small subunit ribosomal RNA", at positions 1470 to 1796 of the family's 1831-position model. The record is from RNAcentral.
CCCUUAGAUGUUCUGGGCCGCACGCGUGCUACACUGAGUGGAUCAGCGGGUCAGGUUGCGCGAAAGUGUUUCCUAAUCUUUAAAUCCGCUCGUGAUGGGGAUUGACGGUUGCAAUUUUCCGUCAUGAACGAGGAAUACCUUGUAAGCGCGGGUCAUCAUCCCGCGCUGAAUACGUCCCUGCCCUUUGUACACACCGCCCGUCGCUCCUACCGAUUGAGUGAUCCGGUGAGGCUUUGGGAUCUGAGCGGAAAGAGCGUUUCGCUGUUUCUGCCCGGAAAACUCAGUCGAACCUUAUCAUUUAGAGGAAGGAGAAGUCGUAACA